AGUGAACGCUGGCGGUAGGCCUAACACAUGCAAGUCGAACGGCAGCACAGUAAGUGCUUGCUCUUACGGGUGGCGAGUGUCGGACGGGUGCUGAAUACACCGGAAUCUACUUUUUCGUGGUGGCUAACGCAGGGAAACUUACGCUAAUACCGCAUACGACCUACGGGUUAAAGCAGCGGAUCUUCGGAGCGUGCGCGAUUGAAUGAGAGCGAGUCUGAUUAGCUAGUUGGCGGGGUAAAGGCCCACCAAGGCAGCGAUCAGGAGCUGGUCUGAGAGGAUGAGCAGCCACACUGGGACUGAGACACGGCCCAGACUCCUACGGGAGGCAGCAGUGGGGAAGUUUCCGCAAUGGGCGAAAGCCUGACGGAGCAAUACCGCGUGAGGGAAGAAGGCUCUUGGGGUGUAAACCUAUUUUCUUAGGGAAGAACAAAAUGACGGUACCUAAGGAAUCAGCAUCGGCUAACUCCGUG
This 470-nucleotide ribosomal RNA is filed under the name uncultured bacterium. RNAcentral's name for it is "partial 16S ribosomal RNA". It matches the Rfam family "Bacterial small subunit ribosomal RNA", at positions 29 to 507 of the family's 1533-position model. The record is from RNAcentral.